Molecule: ribosomal RNA, 257 nt
Filed under: uncultured bacterium
Lineage: Bacteria
Description: partial 16S ribosomal RNA
Rfam family: Bacterial small subunit ribosomal RNA
Source: RNAcentral
GUCCACGCAGUAAACGAUGGGUACCAUCUUUUUGUCCGCAAGGAUGAGAGGAUCAUCGAAAGAGAUAAGUACCCCACCUGGGGAGUACGUGCGCAAGCAUGAAACUCAAAGGAAUUGACGGGGGCCCGCACAAGCGGUGGAGCAUGUGGUUUAAUUCGAUGAUACGCGAGGAACCUUACCGGGGUUUAAAUGGGAUCUGAAUAAUCUGGAAACAGGUUAGCCGCAAGGCAGAUUUCAAGGUGCUGCAUGGUUGUCGU